RNAcentral lists this ribosomal RNA (253 nucleotides) under uncultured bacterium. RNAcentral describes it as "partial 16S ribosomal RNA". It matches the Rfam family "Bacterial small subunit ribosomal RNA", at positions 524 to 776 of the family's 1533-position model. The record is from RNAcentral.
UACGGGGGGGGCAAGCGUUGUUCGGAAUUACUGGGCGUAAAGGGCUCGUAGGUGGCCAACUAAGUCAGACGUGAAAUCCCUCAGCUUAACUGGGGAACUGCGUCCGAUACUGGAUGGCUUGAGUUUGGGAGAGGGAUGCGGAAUUCCAGGUGUAGCGGUGAAAUGCGUAGAUAUCUGGAGGAACACCGGUGGCGAAGGCGGCAUCCUGGACCAACACUGACACUGAGGAGCGAAAGCGUGGGUAGCGAACAGG